UACGAAGGGGGCUAGCGUUGCUCGGAAUCACUGGGCGUAAAGCGCACGUAGGCGGCUUUUUAAGUCAGAGGUGAAAUCCUGGAGCUCAACUCCAGAACUGCCUUUGAUACUGAAGAUCUUGAGUUCGGGAGAGGUGAGUGGAACUGCGAGUGUAGAGGUGAAAUUCGUAGAUAUUCGCAAGAACACCAGUGGCGAAGGCGGCUCACUGGCCCGAUACUGACGCUGAGGCACGAAAGCGUGGGGAGCAAACAGG
RNAcentral lists this ribosomal RNA (253 nucleotides) under uncultured bacterium. RNAcentral's name for it is "partial 16S ribosomal RNA". It matches the Rfam family "Bacterial small subunit ribosomal RNA", at positions 524 to 776 of the family's 1533-position model. The record is from RNAcentral.